UACAGAGGGUGCAAGCGUUGUUCGGAAUUACUGGGCGUAAAGGGCGCGUAGGCGGCCUUCUAAGUCGAACGUGAAAUCCCUGGGCUCAACCCAGGAACUGCGUCCGAUACUGGAAGGCUUGAAUCCGGGAGAGGGAUGCGGAAUUCCAGGUGUAGCGGUGAAAUGCGUAGAUAUCUGGAGGAACACCGGUGGCGAAGGCGGCAUCCUGGACCGGUAUUGGCGCUGAGGCGCGAAAGCCAGGGGAGCAAACGGG
Molecule: ribosomal RNA, 253 nt
Filed under: uncultured bacterium
Lineage: Bacteria
Description: partial 16S ribosomal RNA
Rfam family: Bacterial small subunit ribosomal RNA
Source: RNAcentral